This is a long non-coding RNA of Pipra filicauda (Wire-tailed manakin), 375 nucleotides long. RefSeq lists it as uncharacterized. Lineage: Eukaryota; Metazoa; Chordata; Aves; Passeriformes; Pipridae. The record is from RefSeq and is a predicted model, not a curated record. The transcript is spliced from 3 exons.
GUAAUUAUAGUUUGUGGUGAAAAAUAGUCUUUAUUUUUUUGAAACAUUUGCAGGUUUCUUGAAGGGUGUUUAGUGAUCAUCACAGAGAAGUGACAAGAAAAACACCCAGAGAUGUUCUCAUUUCUGCAAAAGAUUUAAGCUGCAUAAGACAUGUUCUUCAUGAAACAACCAGGCAUCUUUACAGUCCAUUAAUUGACAGGCCUGUAUAAAAGGGAGACAGACUGAUGUUCAAAGACAUCUCCUCAUGAUCAGGAUCCAAGAAACAAAUCACAGAAUAUGCUAAGUUGGAAGGGACGCACAAGGAUCACCGAAUCCAACUCCUAGCCAUGCAUGGGACCAUCCCCAAGAGUCACAUCAUGUGCCUGAAAGUAUUGU